CACGUAGUUAGCCGUGGCUUUCUGGUUAAGUACCGUCAUCUCAAGGCCAGUUACUACCUCAAGUGUUCUUCCUUAACAACAGAGUUUUACGAGCCGAAACCCUUCAUCACUCACGCGGCGUUGCUCCGUCAGACUUUCGUCCAUUGCGGAAGAUUCCCUACUGCUGCCUCCCGUAGGAGUCUGGGCCGUGUCUCAGUCCCAGUGUGGCCGAUCACCCUCUCAGGUCGGCCAUGCAUCGUCGCCUUGGUGAGCCACUAUCUCACCAACUAGCUAAUGCACCGCAGGCCCAUCCAUGAGCGGCAGAUAAAUCCGCCUUUUAACAAUUCCACUUAUGUGGAAAAGUCGUAUCCGGUAUUAGCUACCGUUUCCGGUAGUUAUCCCAAUCUCAAGGGUAGGUUGCCUACGUGUUACUCACCCGUCCGCCGCUCGAUCAUGAGGAGCAAGCUCCUCAAUCUCGCGCUCGACUUGCAUGUAUUGGCACGCCGCCAGCGUUCA
This 495-nucleotide ribosomal RNA is filed under the name uncultured Jeotgalicoccus sp. Its description in RNAcentral is "partial 16S ribosomal RNA". The record is from RNAcentral. Lineage: Bacteria; Bacillati; Bacillota; Bacilli; Caryophanales; Staphylococcaceae.